ACCUUUUUAGUAUAAAUUAAUACCACUGCCUUCCAAGCAGAAAAUUUACAUUAGUAAAAAAGGUA
Molecule: transfer RNA, 65 nt
Filed under: Phascolosoma pacificum
Lineage: Eukaryota; Metazoa; Annelida; Sipuncula; Phascolosomatiformes; Phascolosomatidae
Description: tRNA-Gly
Source: RNAcentral